GGUUAAGUGACUAAGCGUACACGGUGGAUGCCUAGGCAGUCAGAGGCGAUGAAGGGCGUGCUAAUCUGCGAUAAGCGUCGGUAAGGUGAUAUGAACCGUAAUAACCGACGAUACCCGAAUGGGGAAACCCGGUGCACUUUGGUGCAUCAUUGCAACAUGAAUACAUAGUGUUGCAAGGCGAACCUGGGGAACUGAAACAUCUAAGUACCCAGAGGAAAAGAAAUCAACCGAGAUUCCCCCAGUAGCGGCGAGCGAACGGGGAACAGCCCAGAACCUGAAUCAGUUUGUGCAUUAGUGGAAGCGUCUGGAAAGUCGCAGGGUACAGGGUGAUACUCCCGUACACAAAAAUGCACUUAUUGUGAGUUCGAUGAGUAGGGCGGGACACGUGACAUCCUGUCUGAAUAUGGGGGGACCAUCCUCCAAGGCUAAAUACUCCUGACUGACCGAUAGUGAACCAGUACCGUGAGGGAAAGGCGAAAAGAACCCCGGCGAGGGGAGUGAAACAGAACCUGAAACCGUGUACGUACAAGCAGUGGGAGCACCUUCGUGGUGUGACUGCGUACCUUUUGUAUAAUGGGUCAGCGACUUAUAUUCUGUAGCAAGGUUAACCGUAUAGGGGAGCCGUAGGGAAACCGAGUCUUAACUGGGCGUUAAGUUGCAGGGUAUAGACCCGAAACCCGGUGAUCUAGCCAUGGGCAGGUUGAAGGUUGGGUAACACUAACUGGAGGACCGAACCGACUAAUGUUGAAAAAUUAGCGGAUGACUUGUGGCUGGGGGUGAAAGGCCAAUCAAACCGGGAGAUAGCUGGUUCUCCCCGAAAGCUAUUUAGGUAGCGCCUCGUGAACUCAUCUUCGGGGGUAGAGCACUGUUUCGGCUAGGGGGCCAUCCCGGCUUACCAACCCGAUGCAAACUGCGAAUACCGAAGAAUGUUAUCACGGGAGACACACGGCGGGUGCUAACGUCCGUCGUGAAGAGGGAAACAACCCAGACCGCCAGCUAAGGUCCCAAAGUCAUGGUUAAGUGGGAAACGAUGUGGGAAGGCACAGACAGCCAGGAUGUUGGCUUAGAAGCAGCCAUCAUUUAAAGAAAGCGUAAUAGCUCACUGGUCGAGUCGGCCUGCGCGGAAGAUGUAACGGGGCUAAACCAUGCACCGAAGCUGCGGCAGCGACGCUUAUGCGUUGUUGGGUAGGGGAGCGUUCUGUAAGCCGUCGAAGGUGGCCUGUGAGGGCUGCUGGAGGUAUCAGAAGUGCGAAUGCUGACAUAAGUAACGAUAAAGCGGGUGAAAAGCCCGCUCGCCGGAAGACCAAGGGUUCCUGUCCAACGUUAAUCGGGGCAGGGUGAGUCGACCCCUAAGGCGAGGCCGAAAGGCGUAGUCGAUGGGAAACAGGUUAAUAUUCCUGUACUCGGUGUUACUGCGAAGGGGGGACGGAGAAGGCUAUGUUAGCCGGGCGACGGUUGUCCCGGUUUAAGCAUGUAGGCGGAGAGUUUAGGUAAAUCCGGACUCUUUUUAACGCUGAGGUGUGAUGACGAGGCACUACGGUGCUGAAGUAACAAAUGCCCUGCUUCCAGGAAAAGCCUCUAAGCAUCAGGUAACACGGAAUCGUACCCCAAACCGACACAGGUGGUCAGGUAGAGAAUACCAAGGCGCUUGAGAGAACUCGGGUGAAGGAACUAGGCAAAAUGGUGCCGUAACUUCGGGAGAAGGCACGCUGGCGCGUAGGUGAAGGGACUUGCUCCCGGAGCUGAAGCCAGUCGAAGAUACCAGCUGGCUGCAACUGUUUAUUAAAAACACAGCACUGUGCAAACACGAAAGUGGACGUAUACGGUGUGACGCCUGCCCGGUGCCGGAAGGUUAAUUGAUGGGGUUAUCCGCAAGGAGAAGCUCUUGAUCGAAGCCCCGGUAAACGGCGGCCGUAACUAUAACGGUCCUAAGGUAGCGAAAUUCCUUGUCGGGUAAGUUCCGACCUGCACGAAUGGCGUAAUGAUGGCCAGGCUGUCUCCACCCGAGACUCAGUGAAAUUGAACUCGCUGUGAAGAUGCAGUGUACCCGCGGCAAGACGGAAAGACCCCGUGAACCUUUACUAUAGCUUGACACUGAAUAUUGAACCUUGAUGUGUAGGAUAGGUGGGAGGCUUUGAAGCGUGGACGCCAGUCUGCGUGGAGCCAACCUUGAAAUACCACCCUUUAACGUUUGAUGUUCUAACCUGGCGCCGUGAUCCGGCGUGGGGACAGUGUCUGGUGGGUAGUUUGACUGGGGCGGUCUCCUCCUAAAGAGUAACGGAGGAGCACGAAGGUUAGCUAAUCACGGUCGGACAUCGUGAGGUUAGUGCAAUGGCAUAAGCUAGCUUGACUGCGAGAGUGACGGCUCGAGCAGGUGCGAAAGCAGGUCAUAGUGAUCCGGUGGUUCUGAAUGGAAGGGCCAUCGCUCAACGGAUAAAAGGUACUCCGGGGAUAACAGGCUGAUACCGCCCAAGAGUUCAUAUCGACGGCGGUGUUUGGCACCUCGAUGUCGGCUCAUCACAUCCUGGGGCUGAAGUAGGUCCCAAGGGUACGGCUGUUCGCCGUUUAAAGUGGUACGCGAGCUGGGUUUAGAACGUCGUGAGACAGUUCGGUCCCUAUCUGCCGUGGGCGCUGGAAGAUUGAGAGGGGUUGCUCCUAGUACGAGAGGACCGGAGUGAACGCACCACUGGUGUUCGGGUUGUCAUGCCAAUGGCAUUGCCCGGUAGCUAAGUGCGGAAAAGAUAAGCGCUGAAAGCAUCUAAGCGCGAAACUUGCCUCGAGAUGAAUCUUCCCUGGGCCUUUAAGGCCCCUGAAGGGACGUUGAAGACUACGACGUUGAUAGGCCGGGUGUGUAAGCGCAGCGAUGCGUUGAGCUAACCGGUACUAAUGACCCGUGAGGCUUAACCUUACAACACCAGAAGCGUUCUG
RNAcentral lists this ribosomal RNA (2928 nucleotides) under Erwinia billingiae. RNAcentral's name for it is "LSU rRNA". It matches the Rfam family "Bacterial large subunit ribosomal RNA". RNAcentral also lists the same sequence under 1 other name. The record is from RNAcentral. Lineage: Bacteria; Pseudomonadati; Pseudomonadota; Gammaproteobacteria; Enterobacterales; Erwiniaceae.